GGGUGAGUAACACGUGAGCAACCUGCCCUGGACUCUGGGAUAAGCGCUGGAAACGGCGUCUAAUACUGGAUAUGAGACGUGAUCGCAUGGUCGUGUUUGGAAAGAUUUUUCGGUCUGGGAUGGGCUCGCGGCCUAUCAGCUUGUUGGUGAGGUAAUGGCUCACCAAGGCGUCGACGGGUAGCCGGCCUGAGAGGGUGACCGGCCACACUGGGACUGAGACACGGCCCAGACUCCUACGGGAGGCAGCAGUGGGGAAUAUUGCACAAUGGGCGGAAGCCUGAUGCAGCAACGCCGCGUGAGGGAUGACGGCCUUCGGGUUGUAAACCUCUUUUAGCAGGGAAGAAGCGAAAGUGACGGUACCUGCAGAAAAAGCGCCGGCUAACUACGUGCCAGCAGCCGCGGUAAUACGUAGGGCGCAAGCGUUAUCCGGAAUUAUUGGGCGUAAAGAGCUCGUAGGCGGUUUGUCGCGUCUGCUGUGAAAUCCCGAGGCUCAACCUCGGGCCUGCAGUGGGUACGGGCAGACUAGAGUGCGGUAGGGGAGAUUGGAAUUCCUGGUGUAGCGGUGGAAUGCGCAGAUAUCAGGAGGAACACCGAUGGCGAAGGCAGAUCUCUGGGCCGUAACUGACGCUGAGGAGCGAAAGGGUGGGGAGCAAACAGGCUUAGAUACCCUGGUAGUCCACCCCGUAAACGUUGGGAACUAGUUGUGGGGACCAUU
RNAcentral lists this ribosomal RNA (715 nucleotides) under Microbacterium aurantiacum. Its description in RNAcentral is "partial 16S ribosomal RNA". It matches the Rfam family "Bacterial small subunit ribosomal RNA", at positions 104 to 833 of the family's 1533-position model. Lineage: Bacteria; Bacillati; Actinomycetota; Actinomycetes; Micrococcales; Microbacteriaceae. The record is from RNAcentral.